AACGUACGCUGGCGGCACGCCUAACACAUGCAAGUCGAACGCAGUAGCAAUACUGAGUGGCAAACGGGUGAGUAUAAUGUGGGAAUCUGCCUUUUGGUCUGGAAUAACACGAGGAAACUUGUGCUAAUACCGGAUAAGCCCUAACGGGGAAAGUUUUAAUGCCGAAAGAUGAGCCCGCACUUGAUUAGCUAGUUGGUAAGGUAAAAGCUUACCAAGGCAACGAUCAAUAGCUGUUCUUAGAGGAAGACCAGCCACAUUGGGACUGAGACACGGCCCAGACUCCUACGGGAGGCAGCAGUGGGGAAUCUUGCACAAUGGGGGAAACCCUGAUGCAGCGAUGCCGCGUGAGUGAAGAAGGCCCUUGGGUUGUAAAACUCUUUCGUCGGGGAAGAAAAUGACUGUACCCGAAUAAGAAGGUCCGGCUAACUUCGUG
This 433-nucleotide ribosomal RNA is filed under the name uncultured bacterium. Its description in RNAcentral is "bacterial SSU rRNA". It matches the Rfam family "Bacterial small subunit ribosomal RNA", at positions 29 to 507 of the family's 1533-position model. The record is from RNAcentral.